UGAGGAACAUGACCUUCGGCGGGGGAUAGCCGGCCCAACGGCCGGGUAAUACCGCGUACGACCACAUGGGGACAUCCCUGAGUGGUGGAAGCAGCAAUGCGCCGAUGGAGUGCCUCGCGGCCUAUCAGCUUGUUGGUGGGGUGACGGCCCACCAAGGCGACGACGGGUAGCCGGCCUGAGAGGAUGGCCAGCCACAUUGGGACUGAGACACGGCCCAGACUCCUACGGGAGCAG
Molecule: ribosomal RNA, 234 nt
Filed under: uncultured bacterium
Lineage: Bacteria
Description: partial 16S ribosomal RNA
Rfam family: Bacterial small subunit ribosomal RNA
Source: RNAcentral